This 431-nucleotide ribosomal RNA is filed under the name uncultured bacterium. Its description in RNAcentral is "bacterial SSU rRNA". It matches the Rfam family "Bacterial small subunit ribosomal RNA", at positions 30 to 507 of the family's 1533-position model. The record is from RNAcentral.
CGAACGCUGGCGGCAGGCCUAACACAUGCAAGUCGAACGCCCUAGCAAUAGGGAGUGGCAGACGGGUGAGUGACACGUGGGAACCUUCCCUAUAGUACGGAAUAGCUCAGGGAAACUUGAAGUAAUACCGUAUACGCCCGAGAGGGGAAAGAUUUAUCGCUAUAGGAUGGGCCCGCGUCGGAUUAGCUAGUUGGUGAGGUAAUGGCUCACCAAGGCGACGAUCCGUAGCUGGUUUGAGAGAACGACCAGCCACACUGGGACUGAGACACGGCCCAGACUCCUACGGGAGGCAGCAGUGGGGAAUAUUGGACAAUGGGCGCAAGCCUGAUCCAGCCAUGCCGCGUGAGUGAUGAAGGCCUUAGGGUUGUAAAGCUCUUUUAGCAGGGAAGAUAAUGACUGUACCUGCAGAAUAAGCUCCGGCUAACUUCGUG